GUCACUAUUCAUGUCACGUAAUUUAAAGGGUUGGUGUGUGCGAGUCGUUCGGUCUAAACUUCAAAAACGGUCAGUUUUUUGCGUUUUAUAUAAGAAAAUUGACGAUUUUCCCAUAGAAGAACGCUUCCGAUGCCGUUGCUUCGUAUUUUCGCUGUCGUACUGGUGAUGUUUGCAGGAAAACCGCAAUAUUUUAAUUGAGGACUUUCUGACGUUUAUUGUUGUCAAAAAGACACUGUCGUCUAAACGCUUUAUUUGAGUUUUUCUCAAAAAAGUAUGCAUUUUGAGUAUUGGAAGCUUCCUAAUUCCUUACUUGAAGACAUAGAUUGGCAGCCUAAGGGCCCAAGGCGCAAGCCCCCAUUUUCACACAGUUGCCAAUAUUUUUCAACUGAAGCGUUUUCUCAAACAACUACAAAUAUUUCCCCGAUUGUUGUUGAAAAACUGAAGUUUCAAUUUUUGGCGCAGUUUUAUCUGGAUAAAUUUUCGAAAAAACCGUUUUACAACUAGCAUUUUGUAACCUAGUUUAACAUGUGAACCGCAGAAAAAUCUAUGUAAAAAUACCAUCACGA
Molecule: long non-coding RNA, 566 nt
Organism: Dendroctonus ponderosae (mountain pine beetle)
Lineage: Eukaryota; Metazoa; Arthropoda; Insecta; Coleoptera; Curculionidae
Exons: 2
Source: RefSeq, a predicted model, not a curated record